Molecule: long non-coding RNA, 3960 nt
Filed under: Cavia porcellus (domestic guinea pig)
Lineage: Eukaryota; Metazoa; Chordata; Mammalia; Rodentia; Caviidae
Description: lncRNA (ENSCPOG00000040142.1)
Source: RNAcentral
CUUUCAUUUAACAAAUUAUAAUUUAUAAAUACAUACAUGAAUACAUACAUAUAUCAUAUAUGUGUUGCAAUAAUGUCAUUGCUCAAGUGAAUUCUAACAUGCUUUCUGGAAUAGGUGAUAAAAGCAAGGAUUCUAAUAUCAAUUCAUGUUUUUCAUACAUGUGAAUGUCACUCAAGUGUUUGAAAAAGAUGAUUUGGGGGUUGUUACAAAAUAUAUCAUCUUAUGAAUAUACAGUAGUCGUAAUGUCUUUGAUCAGCUCACGAAGACUUACCCUCUCCUUUGAGGAUCCAAAGAAAAUAUGUAAAAGUCAGACACAUAGUAAAAAUACCAAUAAUACUAGGAACAACACUGUUAUUGGUCAACUUUCAUUAUGUAGAAGUUACCGUGCAAGGUACGAUAUUUAUUAUACAAAGUGGCAAUUAAUCUUCACAACAAUCCAGGGAGGUGGUGUGUAAGAAUCAGUAGUCAAUAAAGUGCAAUACAGAAAUGAGGACCCUGGAAGUUAAGUGACUUGAUUAUCAAAGUAAAGGAUUAGAUCCCUUGAUUCCAAAGCUUAUAUUCUUAUCCAUUACACAACACUGCCUGUCAGAUCACAAUCAGAUGGCUGUUUAGAGAGCAUAGAAUCAGAACUGGGACAGAACAAUAAAUCAAAUGAGAACUGGGAAAUCAUUCAAGACACAAGACAGAAACAACCUCAGGUAUGUAGGAAGCAAAGGAUUUUAUAAGGAAUCAUUAUCAAUAAACUGAAUUUUAUUCUAUGUGCAGAUUCAAUAGAAAAUAUUCACAGAACAAAAACAUUCACUUUUUUACUUUUCAAAAUAGGCAUCAGCUAACUGUACUUUUAAAGUAGCUUAUUUUUUAUAUCUAAAGUAACCAUAUAACUCUUAAACAAAAUAUAGAGGCAUUUAUUGGGCACUGGAACAAACCAACUUGUCAAUUAUUUAAUGAGUUUCUAUUUGUAAAAGUCCUGUUCAGUGGCCAUGUAGUUUUAUGCAUAAGAUAAGAUUUCCAUAAAUAUUUUUUGAUUGCUCUAUGUUUAUGUAUCUAAAUGGACCAAUACUGCAUCCUUUCUGUGUAUUUCCUGUCUUCCCAAAAGAAAUGUUGCUUGAUUCAAAAAGAGUUAGUGACAGAAAAAAAAAAAAAAAAAAAAAAAAAAAAAGGAAAAGAAAAAACAAAACACCCCUACCAACAAAAAACACUAACUUGAAACUUAGGCAAACUCAUUUGAGAAGAGAUUUUAAUGGAGGCCUUAGGGAAAUGCCUAUUUGAGAAGUACAAAACUGAGGCUGAAAAUGUUCAAACAUGGAUGACUGAUGGUUAUUACGGCUUGAUAGCAUGAUCUAAUAGUCCAAACUCUUUAUUUUGCAAUCUGCACUUGGAGUCUCUUCUUGUGUAAUAAACUACUCAUGAAUUUUACUGCUUAUACUUCACAAAACGUAUAUCAGCGUUAUGAAAACCUUGGACUUGGUGUUGUCAGGAAAGAACCAAAAUGGUCUCUAAAGAACAAAGUCAUCGAAUAGAAUCAGUUCCAUGUUUCCCUGGGACAGAACCAAAUGGAAGGCAGCAAGCCUUCUGAAAUAAAUAUUCCAAAACAGAUGGUGUCACAAAAAUAACAAAACAGAGGAGUUGUUCCCAUAUGGAUACAAAAUUAUUGUAUGGACCUAAAGAGUGCGCAUUCCUUGUGUAGAAGGCCAGGACAUUGCAAUGGUGUGAUUAUGAUGGACAUGGCCACCUCUGAAUAGACACUGGAGAUGUGUUCUCUUGUACCACGCAUGAAAGUGGUCUUCUGCCAGACAGAAAUCAUGGUAAACAUGUUAUCAAUCUCAACACCUGUUAAAAAAAAACCCAAGACUCUUCAUAUAUUUUAAUAUACAUCAAAAAGUAAAUAGAUUGGCCAUUUUUUCCUAUCUCAAGGUUUUAUCUUGUCCAGUCUCUGCUUAAAUGCUACCUUUUCUGUGAUGCUUCGUCUAUCAUAAAAAUAUCUAGAUAAGGAGGAGCUCACCAGUAAGCCAACUAGUCAGCCUUUCUGGUAAACUAGGAAAGCCAAUGUGGGGUCCAAGAAGGGAAAAAUCUGAUAGCACCCUCUGUGAGCCUACUGGUGUGCAGACUGAGAAUCACCAACUCCCUACUCCAUAAGCAAUCAGCUGGUUCAGAGGACAGGCUGAAUUGAUAGAAACUAAAGUAUAAAAAGCAACUGAGUGCUUGUAUUGUUUAGUAGACUUUGCAGGCCUGGGGCCAGCAGACUGAGCAUGUAUAGGGAGGAUGACAUUAUGCAAUAUAGCAAAUAUGGGGGAUUUCCUUUUUGAAAUCCAACAUUGUUCUCACUGUUUUGUUUUGCUCUGAUUGUUUUGCUUUAUUCAAUAUUCUGUUUUGAUUAGUUUUAUUCUGUUUUGUUUUGGUUUGAUUUUGCUAUAUCUGAUGGAAUAGACAACUAUUGUGAAAAUGACAAGAUAUACUAUGGUAGCCAUUGUUGUUUUCCUGUUAUCCUGCUUUGAAGUUCUGUACCAAUUUCACGGCUUUGUUUAAAUUGGAUUUAUUCUGUUUUGUUGGGUUUUAUUAUCUUUUUAAAAAAACUAGAUAAAUGGGGCUGAGCGGCAUAGCUCAGCGGCAUAAGCGCCUGCCUUGCAAGCACGCAGUCAUGAGUUCAAUCCCUGGUACCAAUUAAAAAAAAAAAAACUAGACAAAUUAUAUCAUCUGUCCCUAAACCUACCUAUACAUGAGUUUCAGGUCUUAAAAUAUGGGUUUCUAUAUUUAACACUGAGAUAUUAUCAUUUAGUAGAGAAGGCCUGCGAUGUGGCUUAGGGCUCUUUGGAGAACUCUAAUCUGAGAAUAACUUGGAUAAUAUAAUCUGAGGAGUUUCUUACAAAAAUGUUUAUCAUUUGCUCAUAUUUGUCUUUUCUUUUUUUUGAGACAGGGUCUUGCUCUGUAAUUCAGUUGGGCUUAAGCUCACUGUAUAGCCCAGGUUGGUCUCACACUUGUGGUAUCCUCCUGCCUUGGCUCCCAAGUACUGAGAUUAAGGCAUAUGCCACCAUGACAAGGUUCAUAUUUUAGCUUACUAAUCACAAAACCAAAAACAUUUCUAAUGCUUAGAUAGCAAAUUUUAGGUACUUAGCAAAAUAAAGCCCACAUCUGAAGAAUGGAGACAACCAUGAAUUAAAUUAUGUUUUUAAAAAGAUAUACCAAAUCAUAUAAAAUGGCCAAAUGCCAACAAAGUGGCAGAAACUCAGACCAAAUUUGUGAAGACUGGAAAACAGUCAAAAAAGUUAAAGUGGGCCGGGAAUUUAGCUCAGUGGCAUAAGGCCUGCCUUACAAGCAUGUAGUUGUGAGUUCAAUCCAUGGUACUGAAAAAAGAAAAAAAAAGUUAGAGCGACCGAGUCUGAAAUCAAAAAAGGGCAUUUCCAAAUGUGUUUUGUAGCAUGUCACAUGCUUACCUUACUCUCUCCCUCAUCUCCCUCAUGUAUCAGUCUUUUUUGUUGUUGUUGUUUUUGUCUUUCUGAGACAGAGUCUCUAUGCAGGCAGGUCAAGCUGGCCUUGAGCUCACUUUGUAGCUUAGGCUGGUCUCAAACUCCCAAUGACCCUCCUGCCUCAGCUCCCGAGUGCUAGGAUUACAGGCAUGAACCACCAUGCCCGUCCUCAUGGCGUCAUUCUUAAAGGGUGUAAGUUUCAGAAUAUAAAAUGGACAUGAUUUUAAAAUAAAAGCUUCAAAGCGCAGCAGGACAUCAGCAAAUGGAGCAAUAUCCCCAUUUCUGGAUAGGCAAAAAAGCAUAGUCAAAAUGGUCAUAUUUCCAAAAUUGAUACACAGGUUUACUGCAAUUCCAAUAAAAAUACAAAUAGCACUUUUCACAAAACUAGAGAAAACAAUCCUAAAAUUCAUAUGGAAACAGAAGCGACCUAGAAUAGCAAAAGCAAUGCUAGGCAACAAGAGAAAGGCAGGAGGCAUCACAAUCCUGCAUUUCAAAG